UAACGAAUCUUCCGCAAUGGGCGCAAGCCUGACGGAGCAAUGCCGCGUGUGGGAUGAAGCGUCUCUGACGUGUAAACCACUGUCAGGGGUUAGAAACAAUGAUCAACCCCAAAGGAAGUGGCGACUAACUCUGUGCCAGCAGUCGCGGUAAUACAGAGGCCACAAGCGUUAGUCGGAAUCACUGGGCUUAAAGGGUGCGUAGGCUGGUCCGCAAGCGUCUUGUGAAAGCCCUCGGCUCAACCGAGGAACAGCAGGGCGAACUGCGGAUCUUGAGGCAGGUAGGGGUCGCGAGAACAGUAGGUGGAGCGGUGAAAUGCGUAGAUAUCUACUGGAAUGCCGAUGGUGAAGACGCGCGACUGGGCCUGUCCUGACGCUGAGGCACGAAAGCGUGGGGAGCAAACAGGAUUAGAUACCCCUGUAGUCCCUGAGCGGGCUGGCAAGGCGCAU
Molecule: ribosomal RNA, 447 nt
Filed under: uncultured bacterium
Lineage: Bacteria
Description: bacterial SSU rRNA
Rfam family: Bacterial small subunit ribosomal RNA
Source: RNAcentral